AAUCCGAAUCCCGGCUGUACAUCAAUGCGCUGGAACUCCUGGCAGGCUCCUUCGCCAUCCGCAGUUUUGCCAGGGACCGAGCCCCAACAUGCAUUCGGCUCCGCAUGGACAACGUCUCGGCGGUGAGAUAUGUCAACCACCUGGGUGGUUCACAGUCGGCAGUCCUGGCCAGAUUGGCGAAAGACUUUUGGGAAUUUUGCCUGGAACAGAACCUGAUGGUCUAUGCGGAAUACUUACCUGGCCUGCACAACGUCCAGGCGGACUGGCGUUC
This is a non-coding RNA of Pelobates cultripes (western spadefoot toad), 271 nucleotides long. Lineage: Eukaryota; Metazoa; Chordata; Amphibia; Anura; Pelobatidae. The record is from the annotation of a GenBank genome assembly.